RNAcentral lists this ribosomal RNA (363 nucleotides) under uncultured eukaryote. Its description in RNAcentral is "LSU rRNA". It matches the Rfam family "Bacterial large subunit ribosomal RNA", at positions 2124 to 2486 of the family's 2925-position model. The record is from RNAcentral.
CGGGCUUUGUUUGCGCAGGAUAGGUGGGAGGCGUUGAAAGUUUUCUUGCGGGAAGAUUGGAGCCAUUGGUGAGAUACCACUCUAACAAUGCUAGGAUUCUAACCCUACACCGUUAUCCGGUUAGGGGACAGUUUCAGGUGGUCAGUUUGACUGGGGCGGUCGCCUCCCAAAAGGUAACGGAGGCGUGCAAAGGUUUCCUCAGGCUGGUCGGAAAUCAGUCGUAGAGUGUAAAGGCAUAAGGAAGCUUGAUUGUGAGACCUACAAGUCGAACAAAGACGAAAGUCGGCCUUAGUGAUCCGACGGUUCCGAGUGGAAGGGCCGUCGCUCAACGGAUAAAAGUUACUCUAGGGGUAACAGGCUGAA